RNAcentral lists this unclassified non-coding RNA (336 nucleotides) under soil metagenome. RNAcentral's name for it is "partial contains 5.8S ribosomal RNA, internal transcribed spacer 2, and large subunit ribosomal RNA". The stretch from base 1 to 120 matches the Rfam family "5.8S ribosomal RNA", at positions 35 to 154 of the family's 154-position model. The record is from RNAcentral.
GAUGAAGAACGUAGCGAAAUGCGAUAAGUAAUGUGAAUUGCAGAAUUCAGUGAAUCAUCGAAUCUUUGAACGCACAUUGCGCCCGCCAGUAUUCUGGCGGGCAUGCCUGUUCGAGCGUCAUUUCAACCAUCAAGCUCCCGGGCUUGCGUUGGGGCCCUGCGGCUGCCGCAGGCCCCUAAAACCAGUGGCGGGCUCGCUGUCACACCGAGCGCAGUAGCAUUUCUUCGCUCUGGGCGCGGCGGCGGGCGCUUGCCGUAAACCAUACCACUUUUUAAAGGUUGACCUCGGAUCAGGUAGGAAUACCCGCUGAACUUAAGCAUAUCAAUAAGCGGAGGA